CUGGAGGCGACCACAAGAAAUACACGUGUGGGAGGAAGGUUGACGUUGGAGUUUUACUAUCGUUGCAUCUUAUAGAGGGACAGCUGUAGCAUCACUGCUUAAACUGCACAUCAGCAGAUCAAUAUAGCCGUGUUGAUACUUGUGGAAUUCAUUCAACAUUUCUUUUCUUUAAUCACUUUUUUGUUUUGUUUUUUUAGUUUUUAGGAAAUUCACAGCGCGCAUCUGCCCGCUGAUGCGUAAAGAUCCGUGCGUAAAUAAUCGCCACUGCUCUGUCAUAGAAUGUCAGAGAGGAUUUAUUUCGACUUGAAACCUCAAUCAAGAGCUUCAUUACAUGACCGAGUGAUUGACACGGAGAGGAUUUGAUGGAGGUGGUUUGGUGACAAGGGCUUUUUUCUUUUUUUUCUUCCGGACUUUCAGUUUGGAUUGGCACCGCAGCGCCUUUAAACCUUCUGGACUUUUUAAUAUUUCAGUAGAGAGGAGAGUGGAUUCUGUAUCUGCAUGGGACCCUGACAGUUUGGGAUCUCUUGAUUGUCACGGCUAUCACCUUCUAUGUGUCACAAGAGGGGGAUUAAACUGAGCUGAAAUCCCCAUCAGGAAGAACUUUAUUUCCGAGAGCUUCCAGCAGUGAAUCAGUGGAGUAUUCAUGAAGCAAUAUUUGAACUAUUACAAGAUGAGGCUGAGAACAUCGAGGUUAGGUUAUCUGUUACUUCAGUUCACGGCGCUUUGCUUUUACGCACAGAACACUGUGCAGUCCCCUCCUAACUUCAAGCACCAUGUCACCGAGCAGAGCCGGCUGUCGGACCGGAUGAGCCGCAGGUUGACACGAACCUACCAGCUGUACAGCCGCACCAGCGGCAAACACGUCCAGGUCCUGGCCAACAAGAGGGUCAACGCCAACGGAGACGACGGAGCGGUUCACGCUAAACUGGAGGUGGAGACGGACUCUUUUGGAAGUCGUAUUCGCAUUAAAGGGGUGAAGACAGGAUACUACAUAUGUAUGAACAAGAGGGGGAAGCUGAUCGGCAAGCGGAAAGGACGAGGCAAAGACUGCAUCUUCACCGAGAUUGUUCUGGAAAACAACUACACGGCGCUGCAGAACGCCAAGUACGAGGGCUGGUACAUGGCUUUCACACGCAAGGGCCGUCCGAGGAAGGCCUCCAAGACCAAGCAGCACCAGAGGGAGGCCCACUUCAUGAAGCGUCUACCCAGGGGGCACUUGCUGGGCGAAAGGAGACCGUUUGAUGUCCUUCCUCUCCGUGUCCCCGCGCACCCUUUGAGCAAGCGGACUAAACAUUCCCAUCACCAGCGCUCAGGGGGCCGCUGAGGACUGAAACCACUGAGGGAGAACUGUGGACGAACCAGCACAGAGAAACCACUACAAGGAGAAACAAGUGCUCUCAGAGAAAUUAACUUUUACAGUCAAGUGCCCAUACACUUUUUGCCUCAUUUUGUGGACUUUGUGUAAUUCUUUGUAACCAUUGACUAUCUAAUCUGCUAGUUAUUUCCAAUUCAGACAGACUUUAGGACAGAUUUUUACUUGCUAAGUUGUGUGUGUGUGUGUGUGUGUGUGUGUGUGUUGUGUGUGUGAAUUAAGAGAAAAAACAUAAAAAAAGAAACCAGAAAAUGCAACAUAGUCACUCAUUGUAACAUGUUCCUCUCUUCUUCUG
Sander lucioperca (pikeperch) is the source of this 1667-nucleotide RNA transcript. It is a transcript of the gene named fibroblast growth factor 8 b, with no coding region annotated. The record is from RefSeq and is a predicted model, not a curated record. The transcript has 7 exons. Lineage: Eukaryota; Metazoa; Chordata; Actinopteri; Perciformes; Percidae.